This 397-nucleotide ribosomal RNA is filed under the name uncultured bacterium. RNAcentral's name for it is "bacterial SSU rRNA". It matches the Rfam family "Bacterial small subunit ribosomal RNA", at positions 356 to 750 of the family's 1533-position model. The record is from RNAcentral.
GAGGAAUAUUGGUCAAUGGGUGCAAGCCUGAACCAGCCAUCCCGCGUGAAGGACGACUACCCUAUGGGUUGUAAACUUCUUUUGUAUAGGGAUAAACCUACCCUCGUGAGGGUAGCUGAAGGUACUAUACGAAUAAGCACCGGCUAACUCCGUGCCAGCAGCCGCGGUAAUACGGAGGGUGCAAGCGUUAUCCGGAUUUAUUGGGUUUAAAGGGUCCGUAGGCGGACUUAUAAGUCAGUGGUGAAAGCCUGUCGCUUAACGAGAGAACUGCCAUUGAUACUGUAAGUCUUGAGUAUAUUUGAGGUAGCUGUAAUAAGUAGUGCAGCGGUGAAAUGCAUAGAUAUUACUUAGAACACCAAUUGCGAAGGCAGGUUACCAAGAUAUAACUGACGCUGAG